RNAcentral lists this unclassified non-coding RNA (349 nucleotides) under Hevea brasiliensis (rubber tree). Lineage: Eukaryota; Viridiplantae; Streptophyta; Magnoliopsida; Malpighiales; Euphorbiaceae. The record is from RNAcentral.
CCCCAUUUUAUCAAACAGUUCUGGAUUCUUCAAGUACCUUACCAACUCCUGAAGUUCCUCCACUGCUUCAUCAAUCCCUGCAACAUCACUAAAUUUAACUCCAGUUGAACCAUCAACGCGAGCUUCUGCUUUAGAACGUGAAAAAUCAAUUCCUUGCCAUAAAUCCCACUUCCUGAAGUUCUUAGGUCUUCUUGAAAGUGUGAAACGAACUAGAAGAACCAUGGUCAAAAGCACAAGCAUGAUAGGCUUUAGCAUCUCAAUGCUGGCAGAUACACCACCGAAAGUGUAAAAUUCACUCAAUUUAGAGAAGACUCCUCCAUCAAUCAAAAUAUCAACAAGAUAAUCCGAA